RNAcentral lists this ribosomal RNA (256 nucleotides) under uncultured bacterium. Its description in RNAcentral is "partial 16S ribosomal RNA". It matches the Rfam family "Bacterial small subunit ribosomal RNA", at positions 524 to 776 of the family's 1533-position model. The record is from RNAcentral.
GACGUAGGUGGCGAACGUUAUCCGGAAUUAUUGGGCGUAAAGGAUGCGUAGAUGGUGUAGUAAGUUAUCGGUGGUAAAUCGAGGCUCAACCUCGUGGAAGUCGGUAAUACUGUUAUGCUAGAGGAUAGGAGAGGUUAACGGAACUCCCUGUGGAGCGGUGAAAUGCGUAGAUAUAGGGAAGAACACCAAUAAAGGCGAAGGCAGUUAACUAUUCUAUUCCUGACAUUGAGGCAUGAAAGCGUGGGGAGCAAAACGG